GUGCCAGCCGCCGCGGUAAUACGGAGGGUGCAAGCGUUGUCCGGAAUCACUGGGCGUAAAGGGUGCGCAGGCGGGGCAGCAAGUCGGAGGUGAAAGCCCGUGGCUCAACCACGGAAGUGCCUUCGAAACUGUUGCUCUUGAGUCCCGGAGAGGUUGCCGGACUUCGUGGUGUAGCGGUGAAAUGCGUAGAUAUCACGAGGAACACCAGAGGCGAAAGCGCCUCGGGAGGACGGACCCGACGGUGAGGGACGAAAGCCAGGGUCUCGAACCGGAUUAGAUACCCGAGUAGUCC
Molecule: ribosomal RNA, 292 nt
Filed under: uncultured bacterium
Lineage: Bacteria
Description: partial 16S ribosomal RNA
Rfam family: Bacterial small subunit ribosomal RNA
Source: RNAcentral